CCCUGACCCUUAUGAUGGCAGAGGAAGGUCGUCCUACCUUUCCAUCUCUACAGAUGUGUGGACAAAGCAGAACGGAAAGGCUCAGGAUGACAUUGAUUCUGUGUGAUUGCAGUACCCAAGGUCUGUUCCUCAGUCCGCAUCUCUGGGAACCCUCCAGCUUGAGGAAGAAGAGGAGGCAGUGGGCUCAGCAUCAGCUGCCUUGCAUUCCUUCACAUGCUACAUGGCAACCUUCUCAAUGCCCCCAUCACCAUGGGAAUGAGUGGAAAAAAGGCUCUGAGGGUGGAACUGCAGCUUCUGCAUAGACUUAUCCUACUGCUUCCCCCAUAAUCUAUGGAAUUUACAUGUGUGACGGAUCGUGGACUCUACUUCCUGUCCAACCAGAGCAGUAAAAAAACUGUGCUCCAUUUGUGUACCAUGAAGCAAUCUGCAUUCUGCUAUCCUUUGUUAGAAC
RNAcentral lists this long non-coding RNA (451 nucleotides) under Marmota marmota marmota (Alpine marmot). RNAcentral's name for it is "lncRNA (ENSMMMG00000015525.1)". The record is from RNAcentral. Lineage: Eukaryota; Metazoa; Chordata; Mammalia; Rodentia; Sciuridae.